Molecule: ribosomal RNA, 429 nt
Filed under: uncultured bacterium
Lineage: Bacteria
Description: bacterial SSU rRNA
Rfam family: Bacterial small subunit ribosomal RNA
Source: RNAcentral
ACGAACGCUGGCGGCAGGCUUAAUACAUGCAAGUCGAGCGCCCCGCAAGGGGAGCGGCGCACGGGUGCGUAACGCGUGGGAACAUGCCCUUAGGUACGGAACAACGUCGGGAAACUGACGCUAAUACCGUAUAAUAUCUCUGGAUCAAAGAUUUAUCGCCUAAGGAUUGGCCCGCGUUAGAUUAGGUAGUUGGUGGGGUAAUGGCUCACCAAGCCGACGAUCUAUAGGGGGUCUGAGAGGAUGAUCCCCCACACUGGAACUGAGACACGGUCCAGACUCCUACGGGAGGCAGCAGUAAGGAAUAUUGGACAAUGGGCGAAAGCCUGAUCCAGCCAUGCCGCGUGAGUGAUGAAGGCCUUAGGGUUGUAAAGCUCUUUUAGAUGGGAAGAUAAUGACUGUACCAUCAGAAUAAGCCCCGGCUAAAUUCGU